UAGGUGGCGAGCGUUAUCCGGAUUUAUUGGGCGUAAAGCGUGCGCAGGCGGCUUAUUAAGUCUAAGAUUAAAGCCCGGAGCUUAACUCCGGUUCGUCUUAGAAACUGGUAGGCUUGAGUAUGGUAGAGGCAAAUGGAAUUCCUAGUGUAGCGGUGGAAUGCGUAGAUAUUAGGAGGAACACCAGUGGCGAAGGCGGUUUGCUGGGCCAUCACUGACGCUCAUGCACGAAAGCGUGGGGAGCAAA
RNAcentral lists this ribosomal RNA (244 nucleotides) under uncultured bacterium. RNAcentral's name for it is "partial 16S ribosomal RNA". It matches the Rfam family "Bacterial small subunit ribosomal RNA", at positions 528 to 772 of the family's 1533-position model. The record is from RNAcentral.